UAACAGUCCCCAGGAUCUUGCCUGUGUCCUAACAGCCUUGGCUUAAGAGCUUUUCUCUGCCUCUGCUCUUGCCUUGACUGGGAUACUGACACAGAACUAAUCUGCGCUUUGCCCCAAGGCUGCGUCCAAUUCGAUCAGUGCAUUUACAGUGAGGCAUUAUUACCUCUGCCUCUCAGGGGAUGCCUGGUAGAUGUCUGCUGAGAUCAAGCUUUGCUCAUUCCUCUGGCCCUCCUGGUAUCUACAUUUCUGAGUAGUGCAUCUGUUUAGAAUGUAGAAGAGAAUUUGACUCAUGCAAUUUAACAGGCACAUGAGUCUCUGAUGUUAGUCGAUCUGGGAUCAUUGGCUACAGUCUGAAAAGUGAGCAAAAUGGUUCUCUCCUCUUCUCUGUCUGCAUUCAGUAACGCUAGCUGGUCUUCCGUAUACUGAAGGACACAAGAAGGAGCCAACAGACGUCAACAUCUGAUUUAGAGGAUGUCUCCCCAGCAUGGCUUGAUGAGUGGUGUAGGUCCGUGCCUGGCGUCCGAACCCAUGAACCCCCCAAGGGGGCCACCGAUGUGGAGCACACCAAACGCAACCAUGCCGAACCCAACCACUACACCACCUGGCUGGCCCCUGUAAAUGUAAUUUUUGUUCCCUUGCCUAAACCACAGAAGGAGAAUUUUUCUCAUCUUCUGCCCUGACCUCAAUCUUUCUCAUGAACACUCCAGGAAGGUCCAUGGAGAAGAAUCUACUAGUGAGCCUUGUAUCUGGAUCUCCCAGGCCCUAUACUUUCAUGCCAGCCUACACUUGGC
This 791-nucleotide long non-coding RNA is filed under the name Equus asinus (donkey). RNAcentral's name for it is "lncRNA (ENSEASG00005029622.1)". Lineage: Eukaryota; Metazoa; Chordata; Mammalia; Perissodactyla; Equidae. The record is from RNAcentral.